CGCGGACCGAACGGACGAGGCGACACGAACGGUAUCGGCAGCGAUCCUAUGAAAAAUUCAAUUGUACGGAGUACAUAGCCGGUUGAAUGUUGCAACACGCACAUGUCGUGGCGGCCAUAGAGCGGCUGUAGUUCUACGAUCUACGGGAAAAUCGUCCUCAGUCUCCACUUUUCCCGGGUAAUUCCUUCGAAUCCGCGAGGCCGCGGCGACGAUGACCCUGGAAUUGUCGAACCUCCCGCUUGCAACGAUGCUUCUUCAAGUUUUAUUCCUCACUCUGAUGCUAUGCCACGAACCACCAACAGAGCUGCUCUAGAAAACCCGGCACGCUGACCCGACGACUAAAAUAUGUAGUAAUAAAGUACAGGAAGAAUCGUUUAAAAGGAAUUUCCAACCGGGGAGGAAGCAUCGGGAGGAUCGAAGUCGGGGCACGUUUCCGCAGAGAGGCGGUAUCGCUUACCAUUGAGGCGUACCACUUGCGUUCUGGUUGCGCCGAUCGAAUUGAAUAUUGCAGGGGGGGAAACCUUUCCACGAAAAACCGAUACAAGCGGGACCCGAACGAUCUCCGUCCGUAGCCGGUCACACGACGCAGACAGGAAGCG
Molecule: long non-coding RNA, 599 nt
Organism: Nomia melanderi (Alkali bee)
Lineage: Eukaryota; Metazoa; Arthropoda; Insecta; Hymenoptera; Halictidae
Source: RefSeq, a predicted model, not a curated record